CAGCCGUAAACUAUGCUCGCUAGGUGUCAGGGACGGUGCGACCGUUUCUGGUGCCGCAGGGAAGCCGUGAAGCGAGCCACCUGGGAAGUACGGUCGCAAGGCUGAAACUUAAAGGAAUUGGCGGGGGGAGCACUACAACGGGUGGAGCCUGCGGUUUAAUUGGACUCAACGCCGGAAAACUCACCGGGGGCGACAGCAGAAUGAUGGCCAGGUUGAUGACCUUGCUUGACAAGCUGAGAGGUGGUGCAUGGCGUGUGACUGU
This 262-nucleotide ribosomal RNA is filed under the name uncultured archaeon. Its description in RNAcentral is "partial 16S ribosomal RNA". It matches the Rfam family "Archaeal small subunit ribosomal RNA", at positions 748 to 1008 of the family's 1478-position model. The record is from RNAcentral.